ACGCUGGCGGCAGGCCUAACACAUGCAAGUCGAGCGGAAACGACACUAUCGAUCCUUCGGAUGCUUUAAUGGGCGUCGAGCGGCGGACGGNUGAGUAAUNCCUAGGAAAUUGCCUUGAUGUGGGGGAUAACCAUUGGAAACGAUGGCUAAUACCGCAUAAUGCCUACGGGCCAAAGAGGGGGAUCUUCGGACCUCUCGCGUCAAGAUAUGCCUAGGUGGGAUUAGCUAGUUGGUGAGGUAAUGGCUCACCAAGGCGACGAUCCCUAGCUGGUCUGAGAGGAUGAUCAGCCACACUGGAACUGAGACACGGUCCAGACUCCUACGGGAGGCAGCAGUGGGGAAUAUUGCACAAUGGGCGAAAGCCUGAUGCAGCCAUGCCGCGUGUAUGAAGAAGGCCUUCGGGUUGUAAAGUACUUUCAGUUGUGAGGAAGGGKGURWMGUUAAUAGCKKYRYMUCUUGACGUUAGCAACAGAAGAAGCACCGGCUAACUCCGUGCCAGCAGCCGCGGUAAUACGGAGGGUGCGAGCGUUAAUCGGAAUUACUGGGCGUAAAGCGCAUGCAGGUGGUUCAUUAAGUCAGAUGUGAAAGCCCGGGGCUCAACCUCGGAACUGCAUUUGAAACUGGUGAACUAGAGUGCUGUAGAGGGGGGUAGAAUUUCAGGUGUAGCGGUGAAAUGCGUAGAGAUCUGAAGGAAUACCAGUGGCGAAGGCGGCCCCCUGGACA
Molecule: ribosomal RNA, 723 nt
Filed under: Vibrio sp. 12B12
Lineage: Bacteria; Pseudomonadati; Pseudomonadota; Gammaproteobacteria; Vibrionales; Vibrionaceae
Description: bacterial SSU rRNA
Rfam family: Bacterial small subunit ribosomal RNA
Source: RNAcentral